Molecule: ribosomal RNA, 388 nt
Filed under: Cryptosporidium parvum
Lineage: Eukaryota; Apicomplexa; Conoidasida; Eucoccidiorida; Cryptosporidiidae
Description: SSU rRNA
Rfam family: Eukaryotic small subunit ribosomal RNA
Source: RNAcentral
GCUCCAAUAGCGUAUAUUAAAGUUGUUGCAGUUAAAAAGCUCGUAGUUGGAUUUCUGUUAAUAAUUUAUAUAAAAUAUUUUGAUGAAUAUUUAUAUAAUAUUAACAUAAUUCAUAUUACUAUUUUUUUUAGUAUAUGAAAUUUUACUUUGAGAAAAUUAGAGUGCUUAAAGCAGGCAUAUGCCUUGAAUACUCCAGCAUGGAAUAAUAUUAAAGAUUUUUAUCUUUCUUAUUGGUUCUAAGAUAAGAAUAAUGAUUAAUAGGGACAGUUGGGGGCAUUUGUAUUUAACAGUCAGAGGUGAAAUUCUUAGAUUUGUUAAAGACAAACUAAUGCGAAAGCAUUUGCCAAGGAUGUUUUCAUUAAUCAAGAACGAAAGUUAGGGGAUCGAA